RNAcentral lists this ribosomal RNA (559 nucleotides) under uncultured bacterium. Its description in RNAcentral is "bacterial SSU rRNA". It matches the Rfam family "Bacterial small subunit ribosomal RNA", at positions 339 to 916 of the family's 1533-position model. The record is from RNAcentral.
CCACGGGAGGCAGCAGUGGGGAAUUUUGCGCAAUGGGGGAAACCCUGACGCAGCAACGCCGCGUGGAGGAUGAAGUCCCUUGGGACGUAAACUCCUUUCGACCGGGACGAUAAUGACGGUACCGGUGGAAGAAGCCCCGGCUAACUACGUGCCAGCAGCCGCGGUAAUACGUAGGCAGCAAGCGUUGUUCGGAGUUACUGGGCGUAAAGAGUGCGUAGGCGGUUUCGCAAGUUUGGUGUGAAAUCUCCCGGCUUAACUGGGAGGGUGCGCGGAAAACUGGCGGGCUAGAGUGCGGGAUGGGAGAGUGGAAUUCCUGGUGUAGCGGUGAAAUGCGUAGAUAUCAGGAGGAACACCGGUGGUGUAGACGGCUCUCUGGACCGUAACUGACGCUGAAACACGAAAGCGUGGGUAGCAAACAGGAUUAGAUACCCUGGUAGUCCACGCCCUAAACGAUGCAUAUUUGGUGUAGGUCAUUCAGUUGAUCUGUGCCGGAGCUAACGCGUUAAAUAUGCCGCCUGGGGAGUACAGUCGCAAGGCUGAAACUCAAAGGAAUUGACGG